RNAcentral lists this ribosomal RNA (334 nucleotides) under Salmonella enterica subsp. enterica. Its description in RNAcentral is "partial 23S ribosomal RNA". It matches the Rfam family "Bacterial large subunit ribosomal RNA", at positions 1305 to 1638 of the family's 2925-position model. Lineage: Bacteria; Pseudomonadati; Pseudomonadota; Gammaproteobacteria; Enterobacterales; Enterobacteriaceae. The record is from RNAcentral.
AGUAACGAUAAAGCGGGUGAAAAACCCGCUCGCCGGAAGACCAAGGGUUCCUGUCCAACGUUAAUCGGGGCAGGGUGAGUCGACCCCUAAGGCGAGGCCGAAAGGCGUAGUCGAUGGGAAACAGGUUAAUAUUCCUGUACUCGGUGUUACUGCGAAGGGGGGACGGAGAAGGCUAGGCUAUCCGGGCGACGGUUGUCCCGGUUUAAGCGUGUAGGGGGUGUGACUUGGUAAAUCCGGUCGCAUAUCAACCCUGAGGCGUGAUGACGAGUCACUACGGUGAUGAAGUAGUUGAUGCCAAGCUUCCAGGAAAAGCCUCUAAGCUCUAGGUAACAUU